Molecule: ribosomal RNA, 468 nt
Filed under: uncultured bacterium
Lineage: Bacteria
Description: partial 16S ribosomal RNA
Rfam family: Bacterial small subunit ribosomal RNA
Source: RNAcentral
GACGAACGCUGGCGGCGUGCUUAACACAUGCAAGUCGAACGGAAAGGCCCUGCUUUUGUGGGGUGCUCGAGUGGCGAACGGGUGAGUAACACGUGAGUAACCUGCCCUUGACUUUGGGAUAACUUCAGGAAACUGGGGCUAGUACUGGAUAGGAGCUCCUGCUGCAUGGUGGGGGUUGGAAAGUUUCGGCGGUUGGGGAUGGACUCGCGGCUUAUCAGCUUGUUGGUGGGGUAGUGGCUUACCAAGGCUUUGACGGGUAGCCGGCCUGAGAGGGUGACCGGCCACAUUGGGACUGAGAUACGGCCCAGACUCCUACGGGAGGCAGCAGUGGGGAAUAUUGCACAAUGGGCGGAAGCCUGAUGCAGCAACGCCGCGUGCGGGAUGACGGCCUUCGGGUUGUAAACCGCUUUCGCCUGUGACGAAGCGUGAGUGACGGUAAUGGGUAAAGAAGCACCGGCUAACUACGUG